AACGCACAUUGCGCCCUCUGGUAUUCCGGGGGGCAUGCCUGUUCGAGCGUCAUUACAACCCUCAAGCUCUGCUUGGUAUUGGGCGUCACCACUUGUGGUGUGCCUUAAAAUCAGUGGCGGUGCCAUUCGGCUUCAAGCGUAGUAAUUCUUCUCGCUUUGGAGUCCGUGUGUGUGCUUGCCAGCAACCCCCAAUUUUUUUAAGGUUGACCUCGGAUCAGGUAGGGAUACCCGCUGAACUUAA
Molecule: unclassified non-coding RNA, 241 nt
Filed under: uncultured fungus
Lineage: Eukaryota; Fungi
Description: partial contains 5.8S ribosomal RNA, internal transcribed spacer 2, and large subunit ribosomal RNA
Rfam family: 5.8S ribosomal RNA (bases 1-52)
Source: RNAcentral